GCUGAUAGGGCUGCUAAGCAGGCUACUGUGAUAUAGUAGUUGUAAAUUUAUUUCGUCGGUA
This 61-nucleotide transfer RNA is filed under the name Diplodiscus mehrai. Its description in RNAcentral is "tRNA-Ile". Lineage: Eukaryota; Metazoa; Platyhelminthes; Trematoda; Plagiorchiida; Diplodiscidae. RNAcentral also lists the same sequence under 1 other name. The record is from RNAcentral.